Molecule: unclassified non-coding RNA, 1991 nt
Filed under: Hevea brasiliensis (rubber tree)
Lineage: Eukaryota; Viridiplantae; Streptophyta; Magnoliopsida; Malpighiales; Euphorbiaceae
Source: RNAcentral
AGUGUCCAAUGUGAGGGCGUUACAUUAGCAACUAAUCCACCCAUACACUUAGCUCAAGCUUUCAAGGUGGAGUAGCUAAAGGAGGAGCAACCCAAAAGCAAACUGGAGGACAACACUAAAUUGGUAAAACUUAAACUUCUCUCCUCCUUACUAAGGUACGCAUUUUUUGACUCAAACUCUAAAUAUUCUAUUAUUAUCAAUGCUAGCCUAUCUGAAAUAGAGGAAAAAAAAUUGUUAAAAGUGCUUAGGACCUAUAGCAAAGUUAUAGGAUAUAAAAUAGAAGACCUAAAAGGGAUUAAUCCUUCAAUUUGCAUGCAUAGGAUACCUAUGGAGGAAAACAACAAACCCACUAUUGAACACUGAAGAAGCCUUAACCCAAACAUGAAAGAAGUAGUUAAGAAAGAAAUUCUGAAACUAUUAGAUGCAUAUAUUAUAUACCCAAUUUCUAAUAGUAAAUGGGUUAGUCCAGUACAUAUAGUGCCUAAGAAAGGUGGGACAACUGUCGUUCAAAAUACAAACAAUGAACUGAUCCUUACUAGGGUAGUUACUGGUCGGUGCAUGUGCAUAGAUUAUAGGAAGUUAAAUAGUGCCACAAAAAAAGAUUAUUUUGCUCUCCCUUUCAUAGAUCAAAUGCUGGAAAGACUAAUAAAACAUUAUUACUUUUAUUAUCUAUAUGGGUAUUCAGGAUUUUUUUCAAAUUCCUAUUCAUCCAGAAGACCAGAAAAGGACCACAUUCAUAUGUCCUUAUGGAACCUUUGCAUAUAGAAUGAUGCCUUUUAGUCUUUGUAAUACCCAUGUUACUUUUCAAAGAUACAUGAUGAUCAUUUUUUCUGAUUAUAUUGAAAAUAUCAUGGAAGUUUUUAUGGAUGAUUUUUCUGUCUAUGAAACUACUUUUGAUGAUUGCCUAGCUAACUUGUCCAAAGUGUUGCAAAUAUGUGAAGAAUCGAACCUGGUCUUGAAUUGGGAAAAAUGUCACUUCAUGGUAAGGGAGGGCAUAGUUCUUGGCCAUCUGAUAUCAGAAAGAGGGAUUGAAGUUGACAUGGCAAAAAUUGAAAUUACUGAAAAGAUGCCAUGAUACACUUUUAUUAUAUAGAUAUUUUUAAGUAUAUUUGUAUAAUAUUUCAUAGCAUUUAGAUAAGUAAUCUCAUGCAUAAUCAUCAAUUUCACAAACUUUUGUGAAUUCCAUGGUUAGGCUCUGAAUUUUAUAUUUUUUGUAUGUUUCCAGGUGUUUUAAGGAAGUUCCACGGCAUAGGAGCAAAGUAAGGAGUUUAGAAAGGCCAAAAGAUUGAGAAGUGUUGCUGAUACACCUUACACAGGUCGUGUAAGCAAAGCCAUAGACCAAUGUAACCUACUGUCAGGAGAAAGCUAAAGAACGAAGGAAGAAACAAAGUACACGGGCCAUGUACCAUGACCCGUGUAAAAUAUGGAUACCCGUGUAAGUCUCUACCUGGCCAGUCUAAAAGAGUUCCCCAAAGUACAAAAGUACACGGGUCGUGUAAUCAAGCCUGUGUAACUACCUAAGGUCCGUGUAAAGUCCUGUCUCAAUACAAGAUACAACAAUUCAAGCUCCAACAAGUAACAAGGCCUUGGGCCGUGUAGUGACACAUGGGCCGUGUAUCAGUCGAUAGUUAGUUUCUUAAUUUGGCUCCAGCUCUAAUUUUUGACAAAGAGAAGAGACUUCUAAUGCUGUUAGGAUUCUGAAAAUCUAACCCUAGAUAUUGUAUAUAAAUAGGAGUAGCAGAAACCAGAAAAGGAAAGGGGGAGAGGCCGGACAAUAUCACCUUCACUAUUUUCACAUGACCGUCUAGAAGAAUAGUGCAUCAGCAUCAAGGAGGAACCCUCAGCUGAAGUUCCACAAGAUCAAAGUUGCAGAUUCUCUUUAGUUCUUUUGUUCUAUCACUUUAAGCGGACUUCUAUUGUUCUUUUAUUUUAUUUUUAUUAUGUUUGCUGAACUCACCAUGAGUAAGUAAUUUCCAUAUUUUAGAAUUAGG